CGAACGCUGGCGGCGUGCCUAAUACAUGCAAGUUGAGCGCUGAAGGUUGGUACUUGUACCAACUGGAUGAGCAGCGAACGGGUGAGUAACGCGUGGGGAAUCUGCCUUUGAGCGGGGGACAACAUUUGGAAACGAAUGCUAAUACCGCAUAAAAACUUUAAACACAAGUUUUAAGUUUGAAAGAUGCAAUUGCAUCACUCAAAGAUGAUCCCGCGUUGUAUUAGCUAGUUGGUGAGGUAAAGGCUCACCAAGGCGAUGAUACAUAGCCGACCUGAGAGGGUGAUCGGCCACAUUGGGACUGAGACACGGCCCAAACUCCUACGGGAGGCAGCAGUAGGGAAUCUUCGGCAAUGGACGAAAGUCUGACCGAGCAACGCCGCGUGAGUGAAGAAGGUGUUCGGAUCGUAAAACUCUGUUGGUAGAGAAGAACGUUGGUGAGAGUGGAAAGCUCAUCAAGUGACGGUAACUACCCAGAAAGGGACGGCUAACUACGU
Molecule: ribosomal RNA, 494 nt
Filed under: uncultured bacterium
Lineage: Bacteria
Description: partial 16S ribosomal RNA
Rfam family: Bacterial small subunit ribosomal RNA
Source: RNAcentral